CGGAAUCUCAAGUUCGGUAUGCUUUUAAAAGAGGCCGCUGGUGAGUCGCACCGUUCAAUGCGGAAACCCCAACAACUGCAAAAUGGAAGCCAACUGCUCGAGCUGCCGACGCACACGGUGGUUUGAUCUGAUCGAGUUCCCUGUCAGCGCUAUCAUUUUAAGCACCGCAGAUUUGAUUCAUCAUUGCGAGAGCGGUGUUCGAGUGAAGUAUACGACACGUAACUCCAACAGCAGGAGCUUGGCCACAGCAACAUGUCCGUUUCUGACUGCGUCCAUGAAUGGAGUCACUCCACAGCUGUCAGCAGUGUCAGGUGUGUAGUCACAUCUGGACGAGAAAAAAAUGACUUAUUUUAUUAACGACUAGGAAAAGCUGAAUUCUAGCACCAUCUUAAACGGCUUAGCUGAACUGUAUCUCAAAUGGCAUACCAUGAUAACUUCAUUUUCAACAUUACUAAGGCAAGUUUAUUUGACAUAUGGAAAUUGUGUAUUCUUAACCUGAUCUACUUUUGUACUUGUUCAGUUAAGAAAAUGUAGGAGAAUGUAAUUUAAUGCCCAGAAUGUAACUUUAAGUGCGGGGAGAAUGUUGAUGCUUAAGUAGUAAA
Long non-coding RNA from Synchiropus splendidus (mandarinfish), 602 nucleotides. RefSeq lists it as uncharacterized. NCBI's taxonomy places the organism in Eukaryota, Metazoa, Chordata, Actinopteri, Syngnathiformes, Callionymidae. The record is from RefSeq and is a predicted model, not a curated record. The transcript has 3 exons.